This is a long non-coding RNA of Sphaeramia orbicularis (orbiculate cardinalfish), 88 nucleotides long. RefSeq lists it as uncharacterized. Lineage: Eukaryota; Metazoa; Chordata; Actinopteri; Kurtiformes; Apogonidae. The record is from RefSeq and is a predicted model, not a curated record. The transcript has 3 exons.
UGACUGUUAAUAUGUUCAGUGUAAUUUUAGCGCUUAAGGGCCUGAUUGGACGCUUUAGCGGGCUGGUUUUGGACCAUGAAACACAUAU